CAGCCGCCACGGUAAUACAGAGGGUGCAAGCGUUAAUCGGAAUUACUGGGCGUAAAGCGCGCGUAGGUGGUUUGUUAAGUUGGAUGUGAAAUCCCCGGGCUCAACCUGGGAACUGCAUCCAAAACUGGCAAGCUAGAGUAUGGUAGAGGGUGGUGGAAUUUCCUGUGUAGCGGUGAAAUGCGUAGAUAUAGGAAGGAACACCAGUGGCGAAGGCGACCACCUGGACUGAUACUGACACUGAGGUGCGAAAGCGUGGGGAGCAAACAGGAUUAGAUACCCCUGUAGUCCCUGUCUCUUUACA
Molecule: ribosomal RNA, 301 nt
Filed under: uncultured bacterium
Lineage: Bacteria
Description: partial 16S ribosomal RNA
Rfam family: Bacterial small subunit ribosomal RNA
Source: RNAcentral